This 484-nucleotide ribosomal RNA is filed under the name uncultured bacterium. RNAcentral's name for it is "partial 16S ribosomal RNA". It matches the Rfam family "Bacterial small subunit ribosomal RNA", at positions 30 to 507 of the family's 1533-position model. The record is from RNAcentral.
AUUGAACGCUGGCGGCAGGCCUAACACAUGCAAGUCGAGCGGAUGAAGGGAGCUUGCUCCUGGAUUCAGCGGCGGACGGGUGAGUAAUGCCUAGGAAUCUGCCUGGUAGUGGGGGAUAACGUCCGGAAACGGGCGCUAAUACCGCAUACGUCCUGAGGGAGAAAGUGGGGGAUCUUCGGACCUCACGCUAUCAGAUGAGCCUAGGUCGGAUUAGCUAGUUGGUGGGGUAAAGGCCUACCAAGGCGACGAUCCGUUACUGGUCUGAGAGGAUGAUGAGUCACACUGGAACUGAGACACGGUCCAGACUCCUACGGGAGGCAGCAGUGGGGAAUAUUGGACAAUGGGCGAAAGCCUGAUCCAGCCAUGCCGCGUGUGUGAAGAAGGUCUUCGGAUUGUAAAGCACUUUAAGUUGGGAGGAAGGGCAGUAAGUUAAUACCUUGCUGUUUUGACGUUACCAACAGAAUAAGCACCGGCUAACUUCGUG